UUAGGAUGGACCCGCGGUGCAUUAGUUAGUUGGUGAGGUAAAGGCUCACCAAGACCGUGAUGCAUAGCCGACCUGAGAGGGUAAUCGGCCACACUGGGACUGAGACACGGCCCAGACUCCUACGGGAGGCAGCAGUAGGGAAUCUUCCACAAUGGACGAAAGUCUGAUGGAGCAACGCCGCGUGAGUGAAGAAGGUUUUCGGAUCGUAAAACUCUGUUGUUGGAGAAGAACGUAUUUGAUAGUAACUGAUCAGGU
This 255-nucleotide ribosomal RNA is filed under the name uncultured bacterium. RNAcentral's name for it is "partial 16S ribosomal RNA". It matches the Rfam family "Bacterial small subunit ribosomal RNA", at positions 220 to 488 of the family's 1533-position model. The record is from RNAcentral.